Long non-coding RNA from Andrographis paniculata, 3449 nucleotides. RefSeq lists it as uncharacterized. The record is from RefSeq and is a predicted model, not a curated record. Lineage: Eukaryota; Viridiplantae; Streptophyta; Magnoliopsida; Lamiales; Acanthaceae. The transcript is spliced from 6 exons.
AAUCAUUCUCGUUUGCCCUAAAACAUUCCCAUCGCGAUUCUUCUCUCAACGAAAUUGAUGCCGCAGCCGCCCAAGAAGCUGCCGGCGGAUGACUUCUUCUCCCCCGCAUAACUCGAUGAGACGACGUGGGUGUCCCUCAACCGCUAGGACUAGGUGUGAAUAUCUACUAUGGGGGUAAUAUAUUUCGAACGUCUUCUCAUAAGUAUGUUGGAGGGUAUAUGAGAACAUUUCAAGAUUUUACCGUAGAGGCCAUUACCGUGGCAACAUUGCAUUCUUGUGUUGCUAGUUGUGGACUUGAAAGACAGUCCGAGUAUGCAUUUUUCAUUUUUAAUGAUGGUCGUUUUGAAGCUGUAAUAGACGAUGUCAAUAUUGUUGAAUAUGUGAGGGAGACAAUGGGUUUAGGGCUUGGUCAAAAUGUGAGUUUUUUCUUGGGGAAUGUUUGAUAAAAGACAAUGAUGAAAUGUUGUCAAAUGAAGAUAGCGACUAUGUGGUGGAGAGCAAGAGUGUUGGGGAGGAUGAUAUUUUAUUUUCAGAGUAUGUUGACUUGAUAGAUGAGGGAGAGGGUCAUGUGGGUAGUUGUGACGAGGUCGGUUGUGUAGUUUGACGGUGGAUGGUCAAAAGGGGCCAUCUAAAGUCAUUGAUGAUGAGGCGGACAUAUGUUUAUCUGAUUUGGAUAUUGGAGAUGAUGUUUCAGAAGAGAAAAAUAGUGAAAUUGUGCAUGGUGAGUUAGAUGUUUCUCCUGAUUGAGGCGAUCUGAAUGUGAGUGACAACGAUGGCGAUCACAAUGAAGUGGUUGUUGUUGGCAGUGACGAAGAAAUGAGAGAUUUGAUUGCGUAUGAUGAGGACCGGGCUGGCCCAAGCAAAUUCAGCACCUUCCGUAAGGUUGACUUGCUUAGUACGAAAUUUGAAAUUGGAAUGCAUUUCAACAAUAGGACAAAGUUUAAAGAUACUUCAACUUAUAUGCGGUGGUAAGUAAAAGGCCUAUUCGGUUUUCAAAAAUAGACAAAGAAGGAUGUUAUGCUGUUUGUAGGAAUGAAAAUUGAAAAUGAACAAUUAAUGCUCGUGUGAUGAGUGAUCGAAGGGCAUUUAAAGUCAUUCUUUUUCACAGUGAGCACAAUUGUGAAGAGAAGUUUAACGUUGCCAAUAUGAAGACAAAAUGGUUUAGUAAGAAAUAUUGUAAGCUUUUCAAGUCUGAUCUGAAACGCAACAUGAAUGCAUUUCGUGUUGACGUGGUUAACGAGUUGAAGGUCAAUGUGACGAAGAAUAUGGCUUACAGAGCCAAGAAGAAAGCGCUACAGGACCUAGAGGGCGUUCCUACCCAUCAAUAUACCCGUUUAUGGGAUUAUGCCAAUGCGCUCAGGGGAGCAAAUCCGGGUUCAACUGUUUUACUUGGUUGUGAAAGGGAUGGGGAGGAUUCUAUCUUUGAUAGGGUGUACAUUUUUUUGAUGCGUUGAAAAGGGAUUUCAAGGUCGGAUGUAGACGUUUAAUUGGUGUGGAUGGUUGUCAUAUGGAUGAGUCAUUUUUACAGCUCUUGGGAUUGAUCCCAACAACUGUAUAUUCCCCAUUGCAUAUAUGGUAGUUGCUAGAGAAACAGUAAAGAUCUGGACUUGGUUUUUGACGAUCUUGAAAAGGGAUUUGGAUAUAGGAAACCAUCAUGAGGUGUGUUUUAUAUGCGACAAGCAAAAGGGACUUGUAAAUGCAUUAGAGAGUUUAUUUCCGGGUAUGGAGCAUAGAAGUUGUGUACAACAAUUACAUAACAACUUCAUGAAAGCAGGAUUUAAGGGAUUAGCGCUAAAGAAUGGAUUGUGGAAAGGUACAAGGGUAGCAACUGUGGGAGAAUUCAAGACAGCAAUGUUGGAGCUUAAGCAGAUUGAUAAAAAAAGUUGUGAAUGGUUGGAAAAUCAGCCGGCAAACGAGUGGAGUAGGUCACAUUUUAAGUGUCUUUCGAAGUGUGACUUUCUUGUGAAUAACCUGUGUGAGAGUUUCAACAGAUGUAUUAGCGAUGCCAGGGCAUAUUCUGAGCAUGUUGGAAUCGAUUCGGGAGUACUUGAUGGAAAGGCUUCAAGAAAAUAGGGAUUAUGCCCGGAGGCGGUGGACUGAUAAAGUCAUAUGUCCAAGGAUUAUGAAAGUACUUUAUAGAAAUCGGGCUAAGGUAGGUGAUUGUAUCCCAUUGAAAUCUGAUGAUACACAUUAUCAGAUUUCCUAUUUCGACGGUAGUUAGCACUGUGUGGACUUGUCUGCUCGGAGCUGCAUGUGUAGAAGAUGGCAGCUGACUGGAAUCCCUUGCCAGCAUGCCAUUUCAGCCAUCAACAACCAAGGAGAUGAUGCGAUAAAUUAUGUUGAGCAAGUAUACUAUGUUGAAACAUAUAAUCAAUUUUACACCUUCUCCAUCAAAGCUGUUAGCAGUGAAAAGUUUUGGGAGCCAACCAACUUCGUACCACCUAAGCCACCACCAAUAGAAAAAAAAGGCGUUGGUAGACCGAAGAAGCUGAGGAAACGGGAAACUGGAGAAGGCAAGAAAAAGGUUAAGGUAAAAGAUAGCACCCAGAGGCUGAAAUGGUAGCAACAAUCAAUAAAAUGUGCGACUUGUCGAGAAGUUGGCCACAAUGCACAUUAUUGCCCCCAAAAUGUCGAUAAACGGAUUGUUGAAAUUGUGGCUGUUGAGGCCGCAGUGCCACUAUGAAAGGGAAUACGCAAUACAUCUGCAAGUUCCAUCCAACCGAGGCGUAGUCUUUGGUUGCAGUCAAACAGUGAGGGGCCACAAGAACAAGUUGUUUCAAUAUAGUACAGUCGGACAGUUGGUUCGGAGAUUCUCACACAAAAUUCACAAUUAAUCCCCACGAAGAAUAGUCGGUUACAAGAUCCUCAUAAUUUGCCAUUUCCUAUUCCACGUCAUUCAAAACGACCACAACGGAAGAGAAACAUCACUCAGGCAUUAAGCACAUGUCAAGACGACUGCCAACCCACUUUGCAAGAUGACUUCCAGCCCAUAUAAGCAAUUCCACAGAGUACGCUAAAGGGAAAGGAAAUAGUGAAGGUAGCUCCAAUAAAGCCUUCACAUGGCCCUCCAAUGUUUGAACAAGGAAACUUUGGUGGUAAAAAAUCAAAGAAGGAGAUCCAAUUACCACUUUCAGAAAUGCCAGCAACUGUACGGGCAAUGGAAUUGAGAUGACUGAUUGAGAAGAACGAAAAGUUCCUUGGGGAUGACAAACCACGAAGGAGAGGAUGACCGAAGAAGAACGUAUAAUUUUAUUUCUAACUAUGCGCAAGUUGUGGUUGAUGACACAUGAAUGCAUGGUUAAACAAUGACUUAAUUUUGGGUUUAGUUAUGUUCUGCUACAGCUUCAGUUUUGGGUACUGCGUUUUGUGUUGAUGCUCACCUUUUUUUGUUUGAAAGUGGGAAGAAUCUUUAAUAUGAUAUGUUAGGCUAACUUUUUGAUGUUCUACAA